This 406-nucleotide ribosomal RNA is filed under the name Klebsiella pneumoniae. RNAcentral's name for it is "bacterial SSU rRNA". It matches the Rfam family "Bacterial small subunit ribosomal RNA", at positions 47 to 453 of the family's 1533-position model. Lineage: Bacteria; Pseudomonadati; Pseudomonadota; Gammaproteobacteria; Enterobacterales; Enterobacteriaceae. The record is from RNAcentral.
CCUAACACAUGCAAGUCGAGCGGUAGCACAGAGAGCUUGCUCUCGGGUGACGAGCGGCGGACGGGUGAGUAAUGUCUGGGAAACUGCCUGAUGGAGGGGGAUAACUACUGGAAACGGUAGCUAAUACCGCAUAAUGUCGCAAGACCAAAGUGGGGGACCUUCGGGCCUCAUGCCAUCAGAUGUGCCCAGAUGGGAUUAGCUAGUAGGUGGGGUAACGGCUCACCUAGGCGACGUCCCUAGCUGGUCUGAGAGGAUGACCAGCCACACUGGAACUGAGACACGGUCCAGACUCCUACGGGAGGCAGCAGUGGGGAAUAUUGCACAAUGGGCGCAAGCCUGAUGCAGCCAUGCCGCGUGUGUGAAGAAGGCCUCGGGUUGUAAAGCACUUUCAGCGGGGAGGAAGGCG